UACGGAAGGCAGCAGUGGGGAAUAUUGCACAAUGGGCGCAAGCCUGAUGCAGCCAUGCCGCGUGUAUGAAAAAGGCCUUCGGGUUGUAAAGUACUUUCAGUCGUGAGGAAGGUGUUAAGGUUAAUAACCUUAGCAAUUGACGUUAGCGACAGAAGAAGCACCGGCUAACUCCGUGCCAGCAGCCGCGGUAAUACGGAGGGUGCGAGCGUUAAUCGGAAUUACUGGGCGUAAAGGGCACGCAGGCGGUUAAUUAAGUUGGAUGUGAAAUCCCCGGGCUUAACCUGGGAAUGGCAUUCAAGACUGGUUAGCUAGAGUCUUGUAGAGGGGGGUUAGAAUUCCAUGUGUAGCGGUGAAAUGCGUAGAGAUGUGGAGGAAUACCGGUGGCGAAGGCGGCCCCUGGGACAAAGGACUGACGCUCAUGUGCGAAAGCGUGGGGAGCAAACGAGGGAUUAGAUACC
Molecule: ribosomal RNA, 458 nt
Filed under: uncultured bacterium
Lineage: Bacteria
Description: bacterial SSU rRNA
Rfam family: Bacterial small subunit ribosomal RNA
Source: RNAcentral